Molecule: transfer RNA, 80 nt
Filed under: Apiotrichum porosum
Lineage: Eukaryota; Fungi; Basidiomycota; Tremellomycetes; Trichosporonales; Trichosporonaceae
Description: tRNA-Asp
Rfam family: tRNA
About the family: Transfer RNA (tRNA) molecules are approximately 80 nucleotides in length. Their secondary structure includes four short double-helical elements and three loops (D, anti-codon, and T loops). Further hydrogen bonds mediate the characteristic L-shaped molecular structure. tRNAs have two regions of fundamental functional importance: the anti-codon, which is responsible for specific mRNA codon recognition, and the 3' end, to which the tRNAs corresponding amino acid is attached (by aminoacyl-tRNA synthetases). tRNAs cope with the degeneracy of the genetic code in two manners: having more than one tRNA (with a specific anti-codon) for a particular amino acid; and 'wobble' base-pairing, i.e. permitting non-standard base-pairing at the 3rd anti-codon position.
Source: RNAcentral
UUCUUGUUCGUAUAACGGUCAGUAUGCUCGCUUGUCAUGGACGAUCGCGGGAGAUCGGGGUUCGAUUCCCCGACAGGAAG